UAGAAUCGUUGGCACAGGACAGAACAUUUUGGCAAAUCAAAUUUGACAACAAGAAUCCACUGGGAGAAACUAGAAGAACUAGGAAGUCAUAAAAAGAACCUCUGGAUACCUGGAAAAAAGAACUUCUUACCUGAAUAUCCCGAAAUUGAGCCUCUUCAAUAGUUAACUUAGAGGCCACUUCCGCUACUUGCUUGUAUUUUUCUUCAUACUU
This 211-nucleotide long non-coding RNA is filed under the name Linum usitatissimum (flax). Its description in RNAcentral is "long non-coding RNA (LUSI_LNC000137)". Lineage: Eukaryota; Viridiplantae; Streptophyta; Magnoliopsida; Malpighiales; Linaceae. The record is from RNAcentral.